This is a long non-coding RNA of Girardinichthys multiradiatus, 2533 nucleotides long. RefSeq lists it as uncharacterized. NCBI's taxonomy places the organism in Eukaryota, Metazoa, Chordata, Actinopteri, Cyprinodontiformes, Goodeidae. The record is from RefSeq and is a predicted model, not a curated record. The transcript has 4 exons.
ACAGCCGUAGAAAGACGCUAACAGGCUAACAACAAACAACGCGUUUAUAAACGAUAAAAAACACAUUACUACAUUUAUCUGCUUCUAAACACCGUUUAACUGAAUAUUCAUCAUGUGUGACUGAGAGUAACAGCUGCUGCUUCAUCUGGUUAAUGAUAUGUGAAGCUAACAGCUCCAACAGUUAGCUAAGCUAGCUCCAGGCUAACAGCCGAGCAAAACAGUCCAAUAGAGGGGAAAACUGCUCCUUCCUGGUCCACCCGGACCACCGGAACCAACACAGGACACGGAGCAGAACUCACCGCAGCAAACAUGCGGCGUGAUGCUGACCACCACCCACAUGAAAAUUCAGUGGAAACGAAGCCUCAGCAACGCUUCAUUCAUAUCGAGACCUGGAGUCUUUGGAGCAUCUGUGGACCCCAGAGGACUAAGGAACAUUUCCAGACUUAAACAACUCCUCAAAAGAGGCCACACUCCAAAAAGGCAGAAUAGCCACACCUGCUGCCACCGUGUGGACAGAUCUGGGUCUGCAGCAGGAACACAAGAUGUCUGCUAAAUGAAACAGACACAACAUAUGGUCAUCUCUGGAGAUCAGUGAUCAGGAAAGUGAUCCUUGACACAGAGUUAGACCCAGGUUCCAUUUCUCCAGGACAAAAACACUGUUAGGCUUUUCAGCUUGAAGUUCCCUUAGAAGAAUCGGUUCAAUUUAUUCCUGAAAAGUAGAAUACAACAAGUUUUCUCCAUCUUGGAAAAGGGAAUACACCAUUUUGAAACCUGGCACUUGGACUCAUCAUGACUGAUCUGAUCUGAAGAAGGUCCAAACAUGUUGAUUUGUGUUCCAAAGAGCCAAGGUCCAUCCAACUGCCAGCAGAACCUACAUAGAGACCAGAGGCUCCUGUACAGAAUAUCCUGGCCGUGUUGAAAUGACAGAGCCAGCAGUUAGCAGCCCAAUGGUGCUCCGAUGUUCCAUCAAACAUUCAGAUAUCUCCAUCCACACUGGCCCCUCCAACGUCUGGAAACCUGCGUGAGCAGAUGGCAAAAGAGCUGUGUGAGGGCAGGAUUGACGCAGCUGUAUGGAGGUCAGCAAAGGCAGCAGAUGAUGGAUGUUGGAGAUCCUGAGCCAAGCUACCUAGUUAAUUUAGCUGCCCUGUGGAAAUCAAACAAGAGAAGAAAACAUCUGGAAUUAGAGGACAAAGAUCCCAUUGAAUCUGUGCAUUUAUUAAAUAAAGCACAGCUCACAAUGGAAGCUUUGCAGAUAUUAAACUGGACAAGUUUUUUUCUCACUAUUGGAGUCAAACUCAGCUGCAUGUGAACCAGACUUGUCCAAGAAAUGUUCCCCUACACUGUGCUUUGAUGCAACUGCCUGGUAGUGAGAAAACUGGAGAAGACAAAUGCAGAACCGGCCCAUCUUCCUGUACCGAGCCGUUCUGACCGGCGCCACUGCUCCAGUGUUUCAGUGGUGCACCUGCUGUCAGAGAGGCGUGGCAUCGCCACAUGGUUGACAGCUCUGGUGAGAAAAGAUGAUGUUCUUACUGUUUCAACCUGCAACAUUCAGAGGAUCUGGACUCGGUGAUGGGAGAAGAAUGUCAGAACAUAAACAAGGAACCUUCAUUUGGUUUGAACAUGUGGGUCCAACCUGUUUGUCCUCGUUUGGGUCCAGCUUCUUGUUUCUGUGGUUCUGUUCAGUGGGAAAGAAAAGAGCUGCUGAUGCUUUAUUCUUCAGCUCCUUCAAUAAAACAGUUUAAACAACACAGGAUGUUCUAUUCUUCUAAAGGUAUCUGUAUGUAAAGGUCAGGCAGCUUUACAAUGACCUGUGACCUCUGACCUGCUGGCUGAGGCUCACUUCCUGCCAUCAUCACACACUGGAUAGGCGAGCUGACGUAUGCAGAGCAGAUCUCCUGGACAUGGAGCAGUUGGAGGUCACCAACCAGAUGUGUGGAACUGGGUUGGUAUAUCAAUCGCCACCACUGGGUCUGUUGCUUCAGAACAGGAGGUUUCAGCACCUGAACCCAGUGGGUUCUAUCCCACACCUCCUAUGGUUCAGUGAUGCCACCUUUAUCUCUGAAAGCUCACGUGAACAGAACAUGACGGCCUCCUAUGAACAGCCAGAGGCAGAUUAAGGACGGGGUCAUCGCUGCGCCACGAUGACAGAAACCUGGACUAUUGGGUUCUGAGGAGAGGUGGUUGUAAAAUAAAUGUCCCAACAAUCCACCCACCGGACCGGACCGAGGACACGAAGAAACGACCCGACUGGCAGUGCAUGAACCAUGAGGCUCCUGAACAAUGACUGAGAGGACAGAGGUGCUUUCAGACAGUUUUAUUCUCAACAUGGGACAGGUGUGACCUCUGACCCUGCUCUUGCAGAGGUCAGUUCAGUAGAUCAGCAACGGGACGAGAACAAGGAGGAAUAAAUUAAAACCCACAACAACUCGUCAGGUAAAAAACUCAAUUCAGUCAGAACGUCAAAGAAGAAAAUUAAAAGAAAAUCAAACUCAACAAAAACUAGAAGCUUGAAAUAAAAACCUUUAAAAAGUUG